UUCCGGUUGAUCCUGCCAGAGGUCACUGCUAUCNGGGUUCGAUUAAGCCAUGCGAGUCGAGAGGGUUCGGCCCUCGGCGUACUGCUCAGUAACACGUGGAUAACCUGCCCUAGGGGAGGGGAUAACCCCGGGAAACUGGGGAUAAUACCCUAUAGGUUACAGAUGCUGGAAUGCCCUGUAACCAAAAGCUCCGGCGCCCUAGGAUGGAUCUGCGGCCGAUUAGGUUGUUGUUGGGGUAACGGCCCAACAAGCCCGUAAUCGGUACGGGUUGUGGGAGCAAGAGCCCGGAGUUGGAUUCUGAGACACGAAUCCAGGCCCUACGGGGCGCAGCAGGCGCGAAACCUUUACAAUGCGGGCAACCGUGAUAAGGGAACCUCGAGUGCCUGUAAACGCAGGCUGUUCAGGUGUUUAAAACGCACCUGGAGAAAGGGCCGGGCAAGACCGGUGCCAGCCGCCGCGGUAAUACCGGCGGCUCGAGUGGUGGCCGCUUUUAUUGGGCUUAAAGCGUUCGUAGCUGGGUUGUUAAGUCUCUUGGGAAAUCUGGCGGCUUAACCGUCAGGCGUCUAAGGGAUACUGGCAAUCUUGGAACCGGGAGAGGUGAGGGGUACUUCGGGGGUAGGGGUGAAAUCCUGUAAUCCUCGAGGGACCACCUGUGGCGAAGGCGCCUCACCAGAACGGCUUCGACAGUGAGGGACGAAAGCUGGGGGAGCAAACCGGAUUAGAUACCCGGGUAGUCCCAGCCGUAAACGAUGCGCGUUAGGUGUAUCGGUGACCACGAGUUACCGAGGUGCCGAAGGAAACCGUGAAACGCGCCGCCUGGGAAGUACGGUCGCAAGGCUGGAACUUAAAGGAAUUGGCGGGG
Molecule: ribosomal RNA, 862 nt
Filed under: uncultured archaeon
Lineage: Archaea
Description: bacterial SSU rRNA
Rfam family: Archaeal small subunit ribosomal RNA
Source: RNAcentral